UACGGAGGAUGCAAGCGUUAUCCGGAUUCAUUGGGUUUAAAGGGUGCGCAGGCGGAAUGAUAAGUCAGUGGUGAAAUCUCCCGGCUCAACCGGGAAACUGCCAUUGAUACUGUUAUUCUUGAGUACAGUUGAAGUGGGCGGAAUGUGUCAUGUAGCGGUGAAAUGCUUAGAUAUGACACAGAACACCGAUAGCGAAGGCAGCUCACUAAGCUGUAACUGACGCUCAUGCACGAAAGCGUGGGGAU
Molecule: ribosomal RNA, 245 nt
Filed under: uncultured Cryomorphaceae bacterium
Lineage: Bacteria; Pseudomonadati; Bacteroidota; Flavobacteriia; Flavobacteriales; Cryomorphaceae
Description: partial 16S ribosomal RNA
Rfam family: Bacterial small subunit ribosomal RNA
Source: RNAcentral